AUUGAACGCUGGCGGCAUGCUUUACACAUGCAAGUCGAUCGGUAACAGGCCGCAAGGUGCUGACGAGUGGCGAACGGGUGAGUAAUGCAUCGGAACGUGCCCAGUCGUGGGGGAUAACUACUCGAAAGAGUAGCUAAUACCGCAUACGAUCUAUGGAUGAAAGCGGGGGACCGUAAGGCCUCGCGCGAUUGGAGCGGCCGAUGUCAGAUUAGGUAGUUGGUGGGGUAAAGGCUCACCAAGCCAACGAUCUGUAGCUGGUCUGAGAGGACGACCAGCCACACUGGGACUGAGACACGGCCCAGACUCCUACGGGAGGCAGCAGUGGGGAAUUUUGGACAAUGGGCGCAAGCCUGAUCCAGCAAUGCCGCGUGCAGGAAGAAGGCCUUCGGGUUGUAAACUGCUUUUGUACGGAACGAAACGGCUCUGGUUAAUACCCGGGGCUAAUGACGGUACCGUAAGAAUAAGCACCGGCUAACUACGUG
RNAcentral lists this ribosomal RNA (482 nucleotides) under uncultured bacterium. Its description in RNAcentral is "partial 16S ribosomal RNA". It matches the Rfam family "Bacterial small subunit ribosomal RNA", at positions 30 to 507 of the family's 1533-position model. The record is from RNAcentral.